Molecule: unclassified non-coding RNA, 357 nt
Filed under: Hevea brasiliensis (rubber tree)
Lineage: Eukaryota; Viridiplantae; Streptophyta; Magnoliopsida; Malpighiales; Euphorbiaceae
Source: RNAcentral
GUCCACUGAGUAAUGACUACAGAGGGAAUAUGGACAUAAAAUCUUCUAGAAUACUGAUAUAGCUUACAAUGUUAAAUUUACUCAUAAGUAUGAUUUGCAAUUGCAUGUAACAUCUGCAGGAUUUAUACAUGAGACUUGAUUGUGGAGAAGUUUAUUACUUGACGAUAAAUUUCUUUUCACAUUUCAUGAAUACUUUUUUAUACUUGUGAAUUGUGAUAAUAAUUUUCUGCAGUGGACAUGAAAUCACAGUUUCAAAGUUAAAGUUAUCACAAGGGCUCAUCAAUUAUCAAAAUAGUGAAAUGUUUGGCUAGGAAUCAAAUGUCUUUCACACUUCAAUGUAAAUACACAGAGAAAAGA